AAAGGCGCUUUCGGGUGUCGCUGAUGGAUGGACCCGCGGUGCAUUAGCUAGUUGGUGAGGUAACGGCUCACCAAGGCCACGAUGCAUAGCCGACCUGAGAGGGUGAUCGGCCACAUUGGGACUGAGACACGGCCCAAACUCCUACGGGAGGCAGCAGUAGGGAAUCUUCGGCAAUGGACGAAAGUCUGACCGAGCAACGCCGCGUGAGUGAAGAAGGUUUUCGGAUCGUAAAACUCUGUUGUUAGAGAAGAACAAGGAUGAGAGUAACUGUUCAUCCCUUGACGGUAUCUAACCAGAAAGCCACGGCUAACUACGUGCCAGCAGCCGCGGUAAUACGUAGGUGGCAAGCGUUGUCCGGAUUUAUUGGGCGUAAAGCGAGCGCAGGCGGUUUCUUAAGUCUGAUGUGAAAGCCCCCGGCUCAACCGGGGAGGGUCAUUGGAAACUGGGAGACUUGAGUGCAGAAGAGGAGAGUGGAAUUCCAUGUGUAGCGGUGAAAUGCGUAGAUAUAUGGAGGAACACCAGUGGCGAAGGCGGCUCUCUGGUCUGUAACUGACGCUGAGGCUCGAAAGCGUGGGGAGCAAACAGGAUUAGAUACCCUGGUAGUCCACGCCGUAAACGAUGAGUGCUAAGUGUUGGAGGGUUUCCGCCCUUCAGUGCUGCAGCUAACGCAUUAAGCACUCCGCCUGGGGAGUACGACCGCAAGGUUGAAACUCAAAGGAAUUGACGGGGGCCCGCACAAGCGGUGGAGCAUGUGGUUUAAUUCGAAGCAACGCGAAGAACCUUACCAGGUCUUGACAUCCUUUGACCACUCUAGAGAUAGAGCUUCCCCUUCGGGGGCAAAGUGACAGGUGGUGCAUGGUUGUCGUCAGCUCGUGUCGUGAGAUGUUGGGUUAAGUCCCGCAACGAGCGCAACCCUUAUUGUUAGUUGCCAU
RNAcentral lists this ribosomal RNA (932 nucleotides) under Enterococcus faecium. RNAcentral describes it as "bacterial SSU rRNA". It matches the Rfam family "Bacterial small subunit ribosomal RNA", at positions 202 to 1121 of the family's 1533-position model. Lineage: Bacteria; Bacillati; Bacillota; Bacilli; Lactobacillales; Enterococcaceae. The record is from RNAcentral.